CAAGUCGAACGAAGUAUGUUUUUCGGAAUGUACUUAGUGGCGGACGGGUGAGUAACGCGUGAAUAAUCUGCCCCAUACAGGGGGAUAGCCUCGGGAAACCGGGAUUAAAACCGCAUGAUGCUUUUUAUCGCAUGGUAGAGAAGUCAAAUCGAAUAAGAGGUAUGGGAUGAGUUCGCGUCUGAUUAGCUGGUUGGCGGGGUAAGAGCCCACCAAGGCGACGAUCAGUAGCCGGCCUGAGAGGGUGACCGGCCACACUGGAACUGGGACACGGUCCAGACUCC
RNAcentral lists this ribosomal RNA (281 nucleotides) under uncultured Eubacteriales bacterium. Its description in RNAcentral is "uncultured Clostridiales bacterium partial 16S ribosomal RNA". It matches the Rfam family "Bacterial small subunit ribosomal RNA", at positions 58 to 339 of the family's 1533-position model. The record is from RNAcentral. Lineage: Bacteria; Bacillati; Bacillota; Clostridia; Eubacteriales.